Molecule: unclassified non-coding RNA, 248 nt
Filed under: Colletotrichum lupini
Lineage: Eukaryota; Fungi; Ascomycota; Sordariomycetes; Glomerellales; Glomerellaceae
Description: partial contains 5.8S ribosomal RNA, internal transcribed spacer 2, and large subunit ribosomal RNA
Source: RNAcentral
CGCACAUUGCGCUCGCCAGCAUUCUGGCGAGCAUGCCUGUUCGAGCGUCAUUUCAACCCUCAAGCACCGCUUGGUUUUGGGGCCCCACGGCACACGUGGGCCCUUAAAGGUAGUGGCGGACCCUCCCGGAGCCUCCUUUGCGUAGUAACUAACGUCUCGCACUGGGAUCCGGAGGGACUCUUGCCGUAAAACCCCCCAAUUCUUUACAGGUUGACCUCGGAUCAGGUAGGAAUACCCGCUGAACUUAA